AGGGAAUCUUCCACAAUGGACGAAAGUCUGAUGGAGCAACGCCGCGUGAGUGAUGAAGGUUUUCGGAUCGUAAAACUCUGUUGUAAGGGAAGAACCAGUACGUCAGGCAAUGGACGUACCUUGACGGUACCUUAUUAGAAAGCCACGGCUAACUACGCGCCAGCAGCCGCGGUAAUACGUAGGUGGCAAGCGUUGUCCGGAAUUAUUGGGCGUAAAGGGUGCGUAGGUGGUUUCUUAAGUCAGGAGUGAAAGGCUACGGCUCAACCGUAGUAAGCUCUUGAAACUGGGAAACUUGAGUGCAGGAGAGGAAAGUGGAAUUCCUAGUGUAGCGGUGAAAUGCGUAGAUAUUAGGAGGAACACCAGUAGCGAAGGCGGCUUUCUGGACUGUAACUGACACUGAGGCACGAAAGCGUGGGGAGCAAACA
This 425-nucleotide ribosomal RNA is filed under the name uncultured Bacillota bacterium. RNAcentral describes it as "bacterial SSU rRNA". It matches the Rfam family "Bacterial small subunit ribosomal RNA", at positions 356 to 774 of the family's 1533-position model. Lineage: Bacteria; Bacillati; Bacillota. The record is from RNAcentral.